AUUGAACGCUGGCGGCAUGCUUUACACAUGCAAGUCGAACGGUAACAGGCCGCAAGGUGCUGACGAGUGGCGAACGGGUGAGUAAUGCAUCGGAACGUGCCCAGUCGUGGGGGAUAACGCAGCGAAAGCUGUGCUAAUACCGCAUACGAUCUCUGGAUGAAAGCGGGGGACCUUCGGGCCUCGCGCGAUUGGAGCGGCCGAUGUCAGAUUAGCUAGUUGGUGGGGUAAAGGCCCACCAAGGCGACGAUCUGUAGCUGGUCUGAGAGGACGACCAGCCACACUGGGACUGAGACACGGCCCAGACUCCUACGGGAGGCAGCAGUGGGGAAUUUUGGACAAUGGGCGCAAGCCUGAUCCAGCAAUGCCGCGUGCAGGACGAAGGCCUUCGGGUUGGUAAACUGCUUUGUACAGAACGAAAAGGCUCUGGUUAAUACCUGGGGCUCAUGACGGUACUGUAAGAAUAAGCACGGCUAA
Molecule: ribosomal RNA, 474 nt
Filed under: uncultured bacterium
Lineage: Bacteria
Description: bacterial SSU rRNA
Rfam family: Bacterial small subunit ribosomal RNA
Source: RNAcentral